GCCGCCCCAGGCCCCGGCACCCACCCAUCUGGCAGCCAGUGUUCCAGAAGGGCUGCGGGUUGUAGUUGCUGGAAUCCACUCGGAUCUGCUGGGCCUUGGUCUCGCUGAAGGAAGACACCUGCCAGCUGGACGCCACUGCCGGGCGAGACGGGAGGCGUCAGGGCACCAGAACCAGGGCGGAGUCAGGACUGGCGGAGCCACGGGCUCAGAGCCCCGUCUGCAGAGGCCAGAGGCUGCGAGGGAAGGGCCCGCAGCCCUGGGGUCCUGGCGCCCACCCUGCAGCCGCGCCUGCCCCCUCCUCUGCAGCGCCCUGCUUGGCCCGGGCCCUGGGUGGCCUGCACUCUGGGCGCCAACCAGUGUGGACCAGGGGAGGGCCGUCGAGGCACCUGCUCCAUCCAGCCCCGACCAGGGCUCCAGGAAUCCCAGAGGCCCUUGGUCCUGGAGGAGACCCCCCAACUCCGGCCGGCGCGGGGACAGCUGGGGCACAUGGGGGCAGGGAGCCCACCCG
Non-coding RNA from Kogia breviceps (pygmy sperm whale), 508 nucleotides. The record is from RefSeq and is a predicted model, not a curated record. Lineage: Eukaryota; Metazoa; Chordata; Mammalia; Artiodactyla; Physeteridae.